AUUUCUUACUUGGUCUGACUCUCUUUCCACUCUCUUUUCUACCUUCUUCUCUUUCAGCUCCCAGACUUCAUCCUGCUUCAGCUCCUGUCAUCCUGUGCUGUGGAAUUCCUAAACCUCUUAGCUUGAGCCCUGCAACGAUCUGAUUUUCACUCCGUUCUAGGAAGGUUCCAUUCUUCAGUGUGGAGCACAUAUAAGUAUGCAUCUAUAUUGGAGAAAUGAAUGCUAAACAAACGAG
This 235-nucleotide long non-coding RNA is filed under the name Homo sapiens (human). RNAcentral describes it as "HSALNT0313325". Lineage: Eukaryota; Metazoa; Chordata; Mammalia; Primates; Hominidae. The record is from RNAcentral.